CUGGAUUUGCGCAUGGGGGCAGCCUGAUGCAGCCCGCCGCGUGGGGGAUGAAGGCCUUCGGGUUGUAAACCUCUUUCGACCGGGACGAUGAUGACGGUACCGGUCCAAGAAGCACCGGCUAACUUCGUGCCAGCCCCCGCGGUAAUAUAAUAAC
This 154-nucleotide ribosomal RNA is filed under the name uncultured Pseudonocardia sp. RNAcentral's name for it is "partial 16S ribosomal RNA". It matches the Rfam family "Bacterial small subunit ribosomal RNA", at positions 356 to 532 of the family's 1533-position model. The record is from RNAcentral. Lineage: Bacteria; Bacillati; Actinomycetota; Actinomycetes; Pseudonocardiales; Pseudonocardiaceae.